CCUACGGGAGGCAGCAGUAGGGAAUCUUCGGCAAUGGACGAAAGUCUGACCGAGCAACGCCGCGUGAGUGAAGAAGGUUUUCGGAUCGUAAAACUCUGUUGUUAGAGAAGAACAAGUGGGAGAGUAACUGUUCCCACCUUGACGGUAUCUAACCAGAAAGCCACGGCUAACUACGUGCCAGCAGCCGCGGUAAUACGUAGGUGGCAAGCGUUGUCCGGAUUUAUUGGGCGUAAAGCGAGCGCAGGCGGUUUCUUAAGUCUGAUGUGAAAGCCCUCGGCUCAACCGAGGAAGGUCAUUGGAAACUGGGGAACUUGAAUGCAGAAGAGGAGAGUGGAAUUCCAUGUGUAGCGGUGAAAUGCGUAGAUAUAUGGAGGAACACCAGUGGCGAAGGCGACUCUCUGGUCUGUAAUUGACGCUGAGGCUCGAAAGUGUGGGGAGCAAACAGGAUUAGAUACCCUGGUAGUCCACGCCGUAAACGAUGAGUGCUAAGUGUUGGAGGGUUUCCGCCCUUCAGUGCUGCNGUUAACGCAUUAAGCACUCCGCCUGGGGAUACGGCCGCAAGGCUGAACCUUAAAGGAAUUGACGGCUGNGAGNGCGAGACGACGACGAGGGAGGAGG
This 618-nucleotide ribosomal RNA is filed under the name uncultured bacterium. RNAcentral describes it as "bacterial SSU rRNA". It matches the Rfam family "Bacterial small subunit ribosomal RNA", at positions 338 to 948 of the family's 1533-position model. The record is from RNAcentral.